RNAcentral lists this long non-coding RNA (241 nucleotides) under Olea europaea (common olive). Its description in RNAcentral is "long non-coding RNA (OEUR_LNC005368)". The record is from RNAcentral. Lineage: Eukaryota; Viridiplantae; Streptophyta; Magnoliopsida; Lamiales; Oleaceae.
CAGGCCUACCUCUUGUAGGUUACUCAUCGUGACUUGAAUUACCUCCUCGUAAUCAAGCAAACUUUAUGAAAGUUUCACAAACUCCUUUUGUACACAAAUUGAAGAAGGUCAAAAAAAGAAAAAAACUUUCCCUGAGCGCCUUCAACUCGGCUCUGAUACGAAAUUGUUGAAUUUAAGACAUAAAUAAAGAUAUUAUUUUAUUUAUGAAAUAGAUUUUACACACUUUUGGACACACUUUGAU